CCCCUAGAUGUUCUGGGCCGCACGCGCGCUACACUGAACAGUUCAACAAGUCUUAACCUUGGCCGAUAGGUCUGGGUAAUCUUUGAAUGCUGUUCGUGAUUGGGAUAGACCUUUGCAAUUAUGGGUCUUCAACGAGGAAUUCCUAGUAAACGCAAGUCAUCAGCUUGCAUUGAUUACGUCCCUGCCCUUUGUACACACCGCCCGUCGCACCUACCGAUUGAAUGGUCCGGUGAAAUCUCGGGACGGCGGCUUGGUCGCUUGCGUCCGACUGCUGAAACUUGAUUAAACCAUAUCAUUUAGAGGAAGGUGAANUCGUAACA
Molecule: ribosomal RNA, 320 nt
Filed under: uncultured eukaryote
Lineage: Eukaryota
Description: partial 18S ribosomal RNA
Rfam family: Eukaryotic small subunit ribosomal RNA
Source: RNAcentral